RNAcentral lists this transfer RNA (72 nucleotides) under Bos taurus (domestic cattle). It matches the Rfam family "tRNA". From Rfam's summary of the family: Transfer RNA (tRNA) molecules are approximately 80 nucleotides in length. Their secondary structure includes four short double-helical elements and three loops (D, anti-codon, and T loops). Lineage: Eukaryota; Metazoa; Chordata; Mammalia; Artiodactyla; Bovidae. RNAcentral also lists the same sequence under 2 other names. The record is from Rfam by way of RNAcentral.
UCCUGGCUCAGAUGGUAAAGAAUCUGCCUGCCUGCCAAGCGGGAGACCCAGGUUCAAUUCCUGGGUUGGGAA